This 344-nucleotide ribosomal RNA is filed under the name uncultured bacterium. RNAcentral's name for it is "bacterial SSU rRNA". It matches the Rfam family "Bacterial small subunit ribosomal RNA", at positions 774 to 1113 of the family's 1533-position model. The record is from RNAcentral.
AGGAAAUAGAUACCCAGGUAGUCCACGCCCUAAACGAUGAUGACUGGCUUUCCGGAGUAUCGACCCUCUGGGAGGCGAAAGCUAAACGCGUUAAGUCAUCCGCCUGGGUAGUACGGCCGCAAGGCUAAAACUCAAAGGAAUAGACGGGAGCUCGCACAAGUGGUGGAGCGUGUGGCUCAAUUCGUCGCUAAACGAAGAACCUUACCAGGGCUAGAAAUCCUACUGCACGCCUAGGGAAACCUAGGAAGCCUUAGAGGGUGUAGGACAGGUGAUGCACGGCUGUCGUCAGUUCGUGGUUUGAAUCGUUCCCUUCAGUGGGGUAACGAACGCAACCCUCGUUGCCA